UGACGAAAGCAAACAUUUGUUCUUUUUCUUUUGUCUGCAGGAUCCAAAAUGGCCACCUUGCAGUCCUCUCAUGGCUUCAUGGGACACUUGCAGACCAGCGAGCUGUGGUUGGAGAGCCGUCCGGUGGUGCCCUCCAUUCGUCACUGGUGAAACAUGCACGCGUCCAAAUGUUUGACACAUGUCAAACAUUUCAGCCUGUUUGUCUUUUUCUCCACCAGGUGGGGCCAAAGGUCCUAGUUUCCGUAGCAUGGUGAAGAUCUACAUGGUUUUAAUCCUGUGGCAUCAUCAACCUCUUGUCCAGGUUACUGUAAACUUGGCAUUGUUUAAAAGCACUUACCUGCUUUAUUUUUUAUGCCUCCCUCUUCCUGCAAGGAUGCAGUUGGAGCGUCUACUAUCUGCUGGCCAAAGGUAAAAGCCCUCGAAAACCAUGCAGAGGUACCUCAAGGUUGUCUCGGUUUUCAGAGUUGACUCUACAAUAAAAUGUACUAAAUGGCAGCUUGAUUGGUCUCUGUGUGCAGGUGUCCAUCCUGGAGAGUUUUUACAACAUUGAAGGAACUCUGCCUGUGCACCAGCAACUGACUGCUUCCACGCUACAGUUAAAAAUAAAAGCAGUAAACUUAAAAUGAGUUGUCAAUGUUCCUUUUUCUUUCCAGGCACAGGUGGCAAAUCCAGGUCCAGAAAGUGAAAAGCCUGCCACAGAUUGUCUUCAGCCUCUGUGAGCUCGUUGACCUGCCUGAAGAGCCCUCUGCUGUGUGAAGUACCUGCUCAUAGCGGAAGCAGAGCCGCAUACCAGCAGCUCUUUAAUGUUCUUGUUACUUACUCAGCUCUAAAGCAACCUGAGAAGCAGCAAGGAACAAAAUCAGCCUCCUGGUCAUGCUGCAAGGAACAAAAUCAGCUUCCUGGUCAUGCAGCUCGCAAUACCUGGUGCCAUAAACGGUUUGUGCACUGGCAUGGAGUAACACUCGUCCCACUGACCUAUCACUCAUCCCUCUGGCCGACCGCUUCACCACUCGUCCCUCUGGCCGACCGAUUUACCACUCGUCCCUCUGGCCGACCGCUUCACCACUCGUCCCUCUGGCUGACCGCUUC
Long non-coding RNA from Syngnathus typhle (broad-nosed pipefish), 1089 nucleotides. RefSeq lists it as uncharacterized. Lineage: Eukaryota; Metazoa; Chordata; Actinopteri; Syngnathiformes; Syngnathidae. The record is from RefSeq and is a predicted model, not a curated record. The transcript is spliced from 5 exons.